Molecule: ribosomal RNA, 584 nt
Filed under: Williopsis mengyuniae
Lineage: Eukaryota; Fungi; Ascomycota; Saccharomycetes; Phaffomycetales; Wickerhamomycetaceae
Description: eukaryotic LSU rRNA
Rfam family: Eukaryotic large subunit ribosomal RNA
Source: RNAcentral
AGGAAAAAGAAACCAACAGGGAUUGCCUUAGUAACGGCGAGUGAAGCGGCAAAGCUCAAUUGAAUUGGUACUGGUGCCCGAGUUGUAAUUUGAAGAUAGUUUUCUGGUGCUGGCCCCCGUCUAUGUUCCUUGGAACAGGACGUCACAGAGGGUGAGAAUCCCGUCUGGCGGGGUGGUCCAGUGCUUUGUAGAUUUCUAUCGACGAGUCGAGUUGUUUGGGAAUGCAGCUCUAAGUGGGUGGUAAAUUCCAUCUAAAGCUAAAUAUUGGCGAGAGACCGAUAGCGAACAAGUACAGUGAUGGAAAGAUGAAAAGAACUUUGAAAAGAGAGUGAAAAAGUACGUGAAAUUGUUGAAAGGGAAGGGUAUUAGAUCAGACUUGGUGUUUUGUGAUUAUCUUCCCUUCUUGGGUUGUGCACUCGCAUUUCACUGGGCCAGCAUCGGUUUGGGUGGCAAGAUAAUGGCUUGGGGAACGUGGCACUGUCUUCGGGCAGUGUGUUUAUAGCCCCUGCUGAUGUUGCCUGCAGACCGAGGACUGCGGCUUCUGCCUAGGAUGCUGGCGUAAUGAUCUAACACCGCCCGUCUCG